UCUAAAUCCAAACAUUGUUAAUUGAGCAUAUAUAUAUUUAUAUAUGUAUGUAUUGUCAUUCAUUGUAGUGUAUAUAAUAAUAUAAACCCUACACAAACACCCAAUGCGCGCAGAAAUUAUUGAGCAGUUGCAACAGUGCCAUUUAGACCAUCCAUAUGGAAAAUUCUUUGGUAAAUGUACGGAUCUGAAGAUAAAGUUGGAUCGCUGUUUCAGGUAGGAAAAAACUUUGAAGCGAAAGGAAAAUUUUGAAAGGAGUAAGGAGUUCAAGCAAAGGCCAGAUGCUUUUAGGAAAGAAAAUAAUGCUGCAAGCAGCAACCAGUAGGAGAAUUUUAGCCCAUCUUAGAAGGUCCAAACUCAAGUGCCAAAUUGUUAGAACAACACAGAAAUUUAGAGGUUCCUUGUGAUUGAAGUGCGAUUAGCGCUUUCCUUCCUUGAGCCAGGAUACGUUCAAAUCUACCAUGAAGAAUAUAGAUUUUGGCUAUUCUUAUUGUAGACUGUUUUCUCUGUUCCUCAUUGCGUUAAUUGUAUUCUAGCAAACACAAAAGUACUAUAAUAAAAGAGAG
Molecule: long non-coding RNA, 563 nt
Organism: Prosopis cineraria
Lineage: Eukaryota; Viridiplantae; Streptophyta; Magnoliopsida; Fabales; Fabaceae
Exons: 3
Source: RefSeq, a predicted model, not a curated record